GCUAACACAACAAUAUGAUACGCAUAGAUUACGUCAGAUCCUAUCCCUUAGUUAUAAUGCAAAGAGCUGAUGCCUUUCUCCAGUUGGACCUAAGCCCCCUCUUAGAAUUCCCGAACAACACUUAGGCUAGUUUGGCACCUCCAUUUCCCCAAGGUAUUCCCUCCCAGGGGAAAAUGAACUAAUUUUUCUUAGGAAAAUAGAAAUCCCUUAAAAAAAUAAGGUUGUCAAUCCUUGGAAAAAUGAGGUGGCCAAACUAGCCCUGAGGCAACGCAAUCUAGUACCCUAAAUUUCAAGGAGGCUUCCUUGCUCCUAGUACCGAUCACGGCGUUCAUGACGCCUGCAGAAAGAUGCAAAACAAAACAAA
Molecule: long non-coding RNA, 364 nt
Filed under: Zea mays
Lineage: Eukaryota; Viridiplantae; Streptophyta; Magnoliopsida; Poales; Poaceae
Description: long non-coding RNA (ZMAY_LNC003403)
Source: RNAcentral